This 264-nucleotide ribosomal RNA is filed under the name uncultured archaeon. RNAcentral describes it as "partial 16S ribosomal RNA". It matches the Rfam family "Archaeal small subunit ribosomal RNA", at positions 714 to 982 of the family's 1478-position model. The record is from RNAcentral.
AGACGUCUACAUUAGAUACCCCCGUAGUCCCAGCCGUAAACUAUGCGCGUUAGGUGUAUCGGUGACCACGAGUUACCGAGGUACCGAAGGGAAACCGUGAAACGUGCCGCCUGGGAAGUACGGUCGCAAGGCUGAAACUUAAAGGAAUUGGCGGGGAGCACCACAACAGGUGGAGCCUGCGGUUUAAUUGGACUCAACGCCGGGAAGCUCACCGGAUAAGACAGCGGAAUGAUUGCCGGGCUGAAGACUCUGCAUGACUAGCUG